RNAcentral lists this ribosomal RNA (467 nucleotides) under uncultured bacterium. RNAcentral's name for it is "partial 16S ribosomal RNA". It matches the Rfam family "Bacterial small subunit ribosomal RNA", at positions 28 to 507 of the family's 1533-position model. The record is from RNAcentral.
GACGAACGCUGGCGGCGUGCUUAACACAUGCAAGUCGAACGGAAAGGCCUCUUUCGGGGGGUACUCGAGUGGCGAACGGGUGAGUAACACGUGAGUAACCUGCCCUUGACUUUGGGAUAACUUCAGGAAACUGGGGCUAAUACCGGAUAGGAGCUCCUGCUGCAUGGUGGGGGUUGGAAAGUUUCGGCGGUUGGGGAUGGACUCGCGGCUUAUCAGCUUGUUGGUGGGGUAGUGGCUUACCAAGGCUUUGACGGGUAGUCGGCCUGAGAGGGUGACCGGCCACAUUGGGACUGAGAUACGGUCCAGACUCCUACGGGAGGCAGCAGGGGGGAAUAUUGCACAAUGGGUGGAAGCCUGAUGCAGCAACGCCGUGUGCGGGAUGACGGCCUUCGGGUUGUAAACCGCUUUCGCUCAUGACGAAGCUUUGUGUGACGGUAGUGGGUAAAGAAGCACCGGCUAACUACGUG